Molecule: ribosomal RNA, 419 nt
Filed under: uncultured bacterium
Lineage: Bacteria
Description: bacterial SSU rRNA
Rfam family: Bacterial small subunit ribosomal RNA
Source: RNAcentral
AGGAAUAUUGGUCAAUGGCCGAGAGGCUGAACCAGCCAAGUCGCGUGAGGGAUGACGGCCCUACGGGUUGUAAACCUCUUUUGUCGGGGAGCAAAGAGAGUCACGUGUGGCUCAUUGAGAGUACCCGAAGAAAAAGCAUCGGCUAACUCCGUGCCCGCAGCCGCGGUAAUACGGAGGAUGCGAGCGUUAUCCGGAUUUAUUGGGUUUAAAGGGUGCGCAGGCGGAGGUGCAAGUCAGUGGUCAAAUUGCGGGGCUCAACCCCGUACUGCCGUUGAAACUGCAUCCCUUGAGUGCGCGAGAAGUAUGCGGAAUGCGUGGUGUAGCGGUGAAAUGCAUAGAUAUCACGCAGAACUCCGAUUGCGAAGGCAGCAUACCGGCGCGCAACUGACGCUCAUGCACGAAAGCGUGGGUAUCGAACA